RNAcentral lists this ribosomal RNA (387 nucleotides) under uncultured bacterium. Its description in RNAcentral is "bacterial SSU rRNA". It matches the Rfam family "Bacterial small subunit ribosomal RNA", at positions 28 to 419 of the family's 1533-position model. The record is from RNAcentral.
GACGAACGCUGGCGGCGUGCUUAACACAUGCAAGUCGAGCGGUAAGGCCCUUUCGGGGGUACACGAGCGGCGAACGGGUGAGUAACACGUGGGUGACCUGCCCUCAGCUCUGGGAUAAGCCUGGGAAACCGGGUCUAAUACUGGAUAUGACUCCAUGACGCAUGUUGUGGGGUGGAAAGCCUUGUGCGGCUGAGGAUGGGCCCGCGGCCUAUCAGCUUGUUGGUGGGGUGAGGCCUACCAAGGCGACGACGGGUAGCCGGCCUGAGAGGCGACCGGCCACACUGGGACUGAGACACGGCCAGACUCCUACGGGAGGCAGCAGUGGGGAAUCUUGCGCAAUGGGCGAAAGCCUGACGCAGCGACGCCGCGUGAGGGAUGACGGCCUGG